RNAcentral lists this ribosomal RNA (373 nucleotides) under uncultured bacterium. Its description in RNAcentral is "bacterial SSU rRNA". It matches the Rfam family "Bacterial small subunit ribosomal RNA", at positions 523 to 897 of the family's 1533-position model. The record is from RNAcentral.
AUACAUAGGGGGCAAGCGUUAUCCGGAAUUACUGGGUGUAAAGGGUGCGUAGGCGGCAAUGUAAGUCAGAUGUGAAAACCCACUGCUUAACAGUGGGAAUGCAUUUGAAACUAUAUAGCUAGAGUAUGGGAGAGGAAAGUGGAAUUCCUAGUGUAGCAGUGAAAUGCGUAGAUAUUAGGAGGAACACCAGUGGCGAAGGCGACUUUCUGGACCAAAACUGACGCUGAGGCACGAAAGCGUGGGGAGCAAACAGGAUUAGAUCCCCUGGUAGUCCACGCCGUAAACGAUGAAUGCUAGGUGUUGGGGGCUAGACCCUCGGUGCCAAAGUUAACGCAUUAAGCAUUCCACCUGGGGAGUACGGCCGCAAGGUUGA